Molecule: long non-coding RNA, 1483 nt
Organism: Uranotaenia lowii
Lineage: Eukaryota; Metazoa; Arthropoda; Insecta; Diptera; Culicidae
Exons: 3
Source: RefSeq, a predicted model, not a curated record
CUCGAUUCAACAGGUUUGACUCGAAUCACAUUUUCCACCUAAACUAUUCGAAAGAAUGCGUACCUAUUUAAAAAAAAAAUUUCUUACCAGAAAUGAACCAUCAAACAACCUGAAUGACACCGAACAAACAAAAUUGGUUUGGAAAAAGCUCGCAACAAGGAGGAAUAUUGGGAUUUGUGGCAAAAUUGAUACUAAAUGUUCGUAAAAUGAAUAAUUAUGGGACAACCACAACAUGUAUACAGCAAGCCGGUGCCCAGGAGGCGCUAGCCAAAGAACCGAAUAGAAGAAAUGGCUAAUAAGCAAUUAAAUUCCGGUAGUCAGAUGAAUCAUAAUCCAACUGAAUAAUAUAUUAAUCAAUCAAGCAGUGUGGGAGGCAACAGUCCCAUUAACCCAGGUAAUAUAAGUUAAGGCCUAAACCAAGGAAUCCGUCACAGAAUUCCCCAGGAAUGGAUCAAAAUCUUCAACAAAUGGGCAUGAACCAAAUGAAUCCAAACAUUAAAAGUCCAGGUGGAAAUAUGGCCCAAGUGCCACUGCAAGUUGGAACUUAGCAGCAGGCUCAGGCCGGAAUGUGUCCAGGUGGACCGAAUAAUUUGCAUCAAGCUCCAGGUCAACAACAACCAAAUCAAGGUGCACCAAAUGUUGGACCAGGUCGAAUGAAUUCUGUAAACAGGGUAACAUUGUCAACAUUUCCGGUCAUCAAAUAAAUCCUCAAGGCAAUUUUGUUCCAAUUGGAGCUAAUCCAAUUGCAAUGGUAGGUAAACUUCGAGUUAUAAUGAGCCGUGAACAAUUAUAUCUGGGGGGAGCGGUAGAAGUUUAAUCUCGAAUUGAUUUCUUCUCCAAUCUCCAUCGCCUUCGGUUCCAUUUCCGGUUGGAGGACAGUGUUCCAUAGGUUCGCAAUACAUCUCCGAAUCCUGGAAUGGGCAGAGUUCCUCUCAUAAAUAUCAGCCAAUAGCUAGGUUCCAAUUUUGACACUUCUAGCCAGCCUUGUGGAGCAACCACGGGCCAUUGAAUGCUAAAGACGAUAACUGUAUCGAGAAAAAUAUCGGGCACUUACGAAAGUGUGGGCAAAGAUUAUUUGGAUGGAGAGGCCAAACGACAUCUUUCAUCGCUAUCAAGGAUGGGUCCUUCGUUUUUGCUAUAGCUGAUGUCCUCAUGGAUGAAAUCAGCAUCGGAAAAAUUAAAUAAGAACAAAUAUUGGAUACACCGUUGGCAGCUAUGAUGCCAUCUAAAUAUGUCGAAGUGGACGCAACGAAACUGUUCAUCAAAACCGAGAGAUUUUGACUCGCGCAAAUAAAUUUUCAGUAGGUUUUUUUUUAUAAAUUUAGGAUUCAAAAUAAUUUUUCAUCUCCAGAUCCCGUUGGCAAUACCGGUAGGAUAACGACGUAUUUCAUCGAAAACGACAGCAGCGUUCAUAUCUAAAUGGAGCGUUUCGAAGGUGGAGGCGAUCGUUUUUGGUUGGCCAGAAUCAACACACUUUUUAGUA